GAAAUGCGAUAAGUAAUGUGAAUUGCAGAAUUCAGUGAAUCAUCGAGUCUUUGAACGCACAUUGCGCCUUUUGGUAUUCCGAAAGGCACGUCUGUUCGAGCGUCAUUGUAAACCUUCCGCUGGCGGUUUUGCUACCGCCUGCGGGUCCCUGGCGAGGGGAUGUUGCCGCCGCGCCCUCACGGGUGCGGGCAGGUUUCCCCCGCUUAAACGCGGAGAAAGCUAGCGGCCUCCGGCCACGACUGCGAGACUAGUAGAAUGCCUGUCCCCAAGUCGUGACCUACGAGUUGCCUGCCUCGAAACGUAUCAGGGCUUCACGGCCCUUUUUACCUGACUCUUGACCUCGGAUCAGAUGAGGAUACCCGCUGAACUUAA
This 372-nucleotide unclassified non-coding RNA is filed under the name uncultured Orbiliales. RNAcentral describes it as "sequence contains ITS1". The stretch from base 1 to 105 matches the Rfam family "5.8S ribosomal RNA", at positions 50 to 154 of the family's 154-position model. The record is from RNAcentral. Lineage: Eukaryota; Fungi; Ascomycota; Orbiliomycetes; Orbiliales.